UCAAGGGCCCCCAGUCACUGCUCCAGAAUAGGAAAGAAGCUGUGGGUGCUGCACAGAUGAGCAGGAGCCGAUGACAUCCCAGAAGCAGGUGCGAGGCAGGUGUGGUCCACGCAACUUGGCUGGCCUGGAUUCUAGGCCUUAGGUGUUCAUCAGUUUGUCCGGCUGCCCAGAGCACAGGCGCAUUGCAUGGCCUUCCUCCUGCACCAGCCUGACUGCAGACAAGUCAGCCACCCCGUGUCCCCCUCAGGCUAAAUGCUGGGAUGGAUCUUGUUUGGAGACACUGCUGACCCUGUGUGUGGCACCUAGGACAUCAAAAGGCUGUGCCCUGGGUCUGCUUUAGGCAGCUCUGCCCUCCUUCCUAAGAUGCGUGCGGAGGUGGAGCACCACGAGGCUGGAGAAGGCACACUGUGGGCCAGGCGCAGCUUAGGGUUGGCCCUGGGUCUGACCCUGUCUCUAUCCAACUCCAAGUAUGGAGGGUUGAACCCAGGGCCUUCGCACGGAGCUAUAUCCUCAGCAUUUCUUGUGGAUAGGGUCUCACUAAGUUGCCCAGGCUGAGCUCAAACUUGUGAUCUUCCUGAAUCAGCAAUUACAGGUAUGUGCCACCACACCUGACCAGAACUACACCAGUGAACAUAAAGCCAAGUGCCACAGUGACCAGCCUGCUGUGUGUGCCUACACUUCCAAGUGUCCCCACCCUUCUCUCUUGCCCCUCACUGUUAUGCCUGCCCUGGUGCCCUGACUUCUCUCCCCUUCUGAGCAGCCUGCUCUGACCUCUUUCCUGAGCUAGUAUAGUGAGAAUCACCUGCCAACCACCCUCUGCCCCUAGCAGAUAAAAACCACCUGGAGAGCAAGGGACUCACCUGUUGUGUCCCUGUGGUUUCUCCAAGUACCUGGCCAGAGGUGCUUAAAAAAUGCUGCCUGCGAAUGUUGGCAUUUUCAGGAUCCAAACCAUGGGCCCUGGCUGGAGAGCUGAGGAUCUGAGACAGGGAUGGACACAGCAGUGCCCCUGGUCCAUCUCAGACUGCGAGCCUCCUGUCCAGUUGAAUGGCAAGGGGGUGGGACAUCCCCUCCCAUAGGCAGGACACCCUGCUGUGCUCUGGUAUGGACCCUGACUACCUUGGGUUCCUGCUGAGCUGGGACCAAAUGGGACCAAGUCACUCCUUUCCUUAUGGGGCUUGGCAUAGCACACUGGCCUGGCGACUCAUGUGCCUAUGGGGAAGCCACCUUCAUCCAGAGAGCCAUGAAAGGCACCAGGCAGGGGGCCUUGUUCUCAAGGCCCACAGGCCAGAGGAGAUACAAACUAUAACCAGCUGCCCCCAAAUUCCAGUGCUGUCCUUAGGUGUGGGAUUUCCAGGGAGGAUCUUAAGGACGGCAGCAGCAUGACCAAGGGCAGGAACCCAGUGGUUACUGGUUUCCUAUUGAUGCUGAGUACAAGCAACCACAAACGCAGUGCUUGCAACAGCAUGGCUGCCUCUCUUACAGCUGCAGAGGCCACAGGUCCACCAUACAUCUCACAGUGCUGAAACUGAGGGUGGUGACAGAAGGCCGUGCAGACCUGAGAUGGACUCUAGAGCUCAACGCACUGUCAGUGCCACGAGUCCCUCUUCCUAUGGGGUAACCAACAACAGCACUGAAGGCCCGGCUGCCUAGAUAUGGGGUCAGGCUCACCCAGGAGAUGGUGGAGUGGUAAGAGAGAGGCUACUGUCUGCUCAGCACCUCCCCUGGGGCCCAUUUCCACACAUCCCCACAGCCACACAUGCCAUGAGCACGGUGCAGGGCAAGGGUCUCUGUUCUUCACAAAGAAAUACUUGAUUCCCGUGAAAGCCUCAGUAUUUUCCCCUUGCAUAAACAUAUGUACAUGUAUCACACAAAUGGAGCCUACCUACCAUACAAGUUUAUAUUUUGUGUGUGUGUUUUUUUUUUUUUUGGUACCGGGGAUCGAACUCGGGACCUUGUACUUUCGAGGCAGGCGCCGGAACCACCGAGCUAAAUCCCUGGCCCUACAAGUUUAUAUUUUGGCUCUUAGUAAACUAGUUCCUAAAUACCCAAGCCCAGACAAGAAAACUCAGGUGGUCAGUGGCUUCCCUGUGUCCUAAGCAUUAGUCAGGAGGGCGGCUGGCCUCAGCUGCAGACCUUCUGGGCCUGAGUUCUAGGUCUACGAUCUUAAUUUCUCUGGAUAUCAACUUUUGCUCCCAUAAAAUGGGGACACCCUUCCCCUCCCAGGAUUCUGCAGAGGAUGGAGAGAAAGCAGUGACUGCCUGGCACCUAGCUGAGAUCUGCAGACCCUCACCCCAACAACAACUGCACGUCCCCAGCUCAUCCUUCUCCCAUGCACGUCCAAGAGACUGCAUCAUCCUUACUUUGAGAGUACAGCAGGAGCUGAUCCCUGCCUACCCCUCCUAGCCUGCUGCCACCACCCUCCCCACCCGGGCUCCACCCUGCAUCCUCCACAGGGGAACCUCGGUUCACUGAGCAGAGCCAGAGGCCUGGCCUGGUUGGCCCCCAUCUUCACCUUAGCUUCUUGCCCUCUCAGCCUCAGGGCCUUUCCACUUGCUGUUUCCUCUGCCUGGGUCGAUCCCUCAGCUCCCCAUACUGGGUCAGCUUAUCCUCAUGGCCUUCCGAGAGUUUUCUCCACCUGAUCAAUAUGCAUCCGCUAGUCUGCUUCAGGUCUGUCUCCCCACCAGAAUGUCCACGAGCAAAGAGAUCUUGUACGAAUUGUAUCUAAAAUGGUUCCCAGCAUGCAGCAGGCACACAGUAAGCACUGGACAGAUGGAUGGUUAGAUGGACAGACAGGGAUCUCCCCUGUCACCGCCUCUGCUCCAGUCCCCCAGUGACCUUGGGCCGUUCCCUGGGCCUGGGCUGAACCAGCUGUGCUCAUCUCAGCAACAUGGACAGAUCCCGGGAGAACCAAGCAGCCCAGCUUACCUUGCAGUGUUUAGACUAAUCUUAAUCCUUUUAUUUUCAUGUAUUUUGAAAGCAGUCCUAAUGGUUUAUAUAUAAAAUUUCCUUUAAUAAACGUACUUGCACAGGAGGGAGCUGGUUAAGUGUCUCUGUAAUUUUCUCAUCAUGUUUUCUUAGUUUUCUAGUCAAAACAAGUUUUAAUCGCAGCAGUUCUAUACGUAUUAGGGAAUAAAGAUUUUCCCUCUUGUUCUUGGUAAUUGUUAAUAAUUAUCAAUCGAUCAAUCUAGUAUUUAUAUUCCACUUGUAUUAGCUACCUGGGGAUGAACAAAGGAUGGACAAGGGCAAUUAUUCCAGUGCCGAGUACCGAGUACCCCAAGGUACCUGGGGCUCGGGCUGCCCUCAGGGCUCAGCCCCUUCUCAGAAGUAAUGCAAGGAGGUCUGGAGAAGGCCUCUGGGGGUGGCUGCAACUCUGGAAGCUGACCAGGCGCCUCAGCCAGCAGGCCAGGCGGGCUCCGUGGAAGACUCCGCCCCCUUGCGGUGCCGCUCAGCAUCUGAGCAGGGGACUGGACCCAGGACAGUGUGUGCCCCAUGGAGAGUGUACCACUGGGCAAAGGGUGCCUCUCAGUGACUAUCUGAAGGCCUCGCUGCAGCUCCUCCUGUACUCUGACCUCCUCUCCUAACUCCCGCUACCCCACCAACAGCCCUGCAGGCCUCAUGGACUCCGUAUCUAGGCGACUCCUGCUCACUCUGGGCCGAGGACCUCUGACAUCCUGAAGCACUGGCCUGCGACCCUUGUAGCACUGACAGGCCCGAAACCUUUUCCUGAGUAAGAGGUUUAUGGCUCACACACUCUGAUGGGGGCUCUGCUGACGACCUUCCCUGUACCUGGGCCUUUACAGUCUUACAGCCAUUAUGGCUGCCUAGCCAUGUGACCUCUCCAGGCCUUUCUGGGCCAAGUUAGUGAACAAGAGAUGGUGAUGAUACAUCUAAUGACCGGAUUGCUGGGCCACAUGCCCCCACUGGGGGCUGUCAAAGCAGGCUGUGCAUGGCUGUUUCACCAAGGAUUUCUUUCUGGAUAAACCCGGCUCAAUGCAGUAGCUAAGGGUUUGGGAUUUGGAAUCCUGGCUCUGCCAUUCACCAGCCAUGUGAAUGCAAAUCACUUCCCUUCUCUGGGCCCAGUUUUCCUGCCCCUGUGGAGAAGACAAGGAGGGGAAUAAAGCAGUGCUCUACGGGGCUGCUAGGAGAAAUCAGUGGUGCCACAUGAGCCUGUUGACCCCGGUCUGAUGAGCGUCCCUGAUCAAUGGAUCCCAUGGGACAAAUGAGUCCAUUGAUGGGCUGUCCGGGGAGAAUGUUCCUACACCACACAUUCCCCACAGGAAAAUUCCACCAAGGCCUCCAAUAAGGAGCAGCCGCUCCAGAAUCUGAGCACCCACAGAAGGGAAGGACUGAGUUCAGUUCCCUGAGAUGACAGAUCCCUCGGGUUUUACCGGCUGAGCAUGUGACCCUGCUCAGUCUCCCGGGUUUAGGCAGAGCUCCUAGACAUGACACCAAAAACAGCAGUAUUGAAAGGAUUGAUAAAUUUGAUUUCAUCAAAAGUUUUCUUAUACAAAAGGCACUGUUAAGAAAAUGAAAGACAGGCUAAAGACUUUUAGAAAACAUUUGCAAAUUACAUACCCGGCGAAAGACGUAACCAGCAGAUGUAAAGAACGCCUAAACUCAAUCAUAAAACAACACUGUAAUUUUUUAAAAUAGACAAGGCUUGAGCAGACAUGUCAGAAGAGGACAGAAGAAAAGGAAGCGUAGGCUGUCAGGGAAAUGCAAUGAGACCAAGAAGAGAAACCCCUGUGCUCCGUUUGAGUGGCCACAACAAAACAUCCUGACAAUACCAAAUGCUGAGAGGGUGCAGAACAGCUGGACUCUCAGUCAAGGCCUGUAGGAGGCCGUAGGGCAGGGACACUCGGGACACAUCUCGGCAGUGUUUCAUACGCACCAUACGACCCAGCCAUCUCACUCUUAAGUAUCCCAGAGAAGUGAAAACUUUUAAAAAUGUGUCUAUUAUCUCUAUGAAAAACGGGCAGUAACUGAAAAGCACACUGGUGUCUUCUGUGAAUGCACAAACUAUGGUAUAUCCACAUACAGACUACUCAGUCAGAAACAGGAACCAGCUACUGAUAUUCCUGACAGGAUGGAUGCCUAUCACAGGUACUGUGCUGAGGGAAAGACCUCAGCCCAAGGGGUUACUUACUGUGCUGACUCCACUUAUGAGGCACUCUCUAAGACGAGGCCAGAGGGAUGCAGAAAAGCAUGAAGGGUGGGCCGGGGUGGGAGUAUAAAGGGAAAGCUCACAGUGAUGACACCGGUCUGCAUCUAUCCUGAUUGUGAUAGUGGGCACCCCUAUCUAUACAUGUGUUCAAAUUCAGGGACCCAAGAAACAACAAAAAAGUCAAGUUUUCCAUAAACUUUAGAAACAUGUGUUUUUAAAGUGAUGGCAAACAGGCCUCUGGACACUGCCUGCAGGCUGGGCCUCUGAGCUCCACUGCUGAUUUGUGGACAAUGAGGCUGUGAUUACUGCUCUUCCCCGUCUCUCACUACUCAUGGAGGCAGCGUUGCCCUGGAGUCCACAGCUCCCUUCCUCCCCGCACCUAGGACAGGCCACUGAGCUGUGGAGUCCACAGAUGGUCAGUCUCUCUCUACACACACACGCACACACGCACGCACACACACACGCGCGCGCGCACACACACACACAGAGUCUUCUGUUGCAACGUGACUUUGCUGCCCCCUCCUACUCUGACCGGUUUGUGUCCUGUGAGUUCUCUGGGCAGUGGCAUCUUAAGCAAAGGGACACAGAACUUGGAACCCUUGUGACCGGGUUCUCCCUGUGCUCUGCUCUAUGUGCCCGGCUACGAAGGCUCCAUGAGGAGGAGAGACCUGAGGCCAGGCCAGCCACACUAUUCUCAGUUAAGGCCACCGUGGUGUGGUGUCUAGCUGGCCGACUCAGACGUGGAAGGGAACUGAGCCACACCAGCUGAGCCCCCAGCCCGUCACCUGAUGCGACAGCAGUUCUUACUGCAGGCCACCAAACAUCAUGGCUCUCUCGUACAGAUCAUCAACCCGGCAGCAGAUAACCGAUAGCCCAGCACUGUAAGUAACUGCUCUCAGUUCUCACUCCUAGGAAGAAGUUGUCACCAACCAGGGGCUUCAGUGGAACAAGAGGAUUCAGGCUGCAAAGGCCAGCUGACUUCUAUGUGUGGUCGCUGCAUCUCUCUGAUAUUACAUUUUAUUAAUGUUUUUUUAAACUAGCCCCAAAUGGGAUAGAGGUUAUUGUACCCAAAAUAACUUUAUCUGCUUCCCUUCUGCAAACUGAAUUUUCAGAUGCUCCAAUGUUUAAAAAUAAAAGACAUGAAAUAGGGCAAGCAAUUGUAAUAAUAUCUAAGCUGCCAACUCACAUCGUUUUGGGACUGAAGUGAGAGUUUGAACAAAAAAGAUGUGACUGCAGUCAAAAUAGCUUCCACUGGAGAGGCACCUAUGAGGUCUUUGCUCCUAGCCUCAUUUUACAGAUGGGGAUUCAGAGGCAGAUAGAAGUCAAGGGCAUAAGACUUGAAAGGAAUAGGACCUAGAAUUUGCCUGACUCGGACAUGCUCUUUCUAAUAUGGACCAAGCUGCUCUCUGAAUGCUAGAGGAAAUGAACAACAGUGCUUUGGCAUGUGUGUUACAAUGAAGUCUGAUCAUGUGCCACACUGCCUGGUUUACCAAGGGAAAAGGGAGGUCCUUUACUGGGGGGAUCUGCCAGUCUGCAGCCUGGUCUCUGGGCUCAGUGGGUGAGGGCUCAGCCUGCUACCACUAGGCUAGAAGAUCACAGCCUCCACUUCCAGAUGAACUUGACUCACACCCCAAAAGAAAGGGAGUGACCACGGCCUGGAGACACACACAAAAAUUCAUUUGGUCUCUUAAACGUCCACGGUGAACACGCUUGGCCUGUGUUCCUAAGUCUGCCCU
This is a long non-coding RNA of Heterocephalus glaber (naked mole-rat), 6900 nucleotides long. RefSeq lists it as uncharacterized. NCBI's taxonomy places the organism in Eukaryota, Metazoa, Chordata, Mammalia, Rodentia, Bathyergidae. The record is from RefSeq and is a predicted model, not a curated record.